Molecule: transfer RNA, 90 nt
Filed under: Armatimonadota bacterium
Lineage: Bacteria; Bacillati; Armatimonadota
Also listed under: 1 other name
Description: tRNA-Ser
Rfam family: tRNA
About the family: Transfer RNA (tRNA) molecules are approximately 80 nucleotides in length.
Source: RNAcentral
GGAGGGGUGACCGAGCGGCUUAAGGUGACGGUCUUGAAAACCGUUGUGGUCUUACGGCCACCGGGGGUUCGAAUCCCUCCCCCUCCGCCA